Molecule: small RNA, 582 nt
Filed under: Pan troglodytes (chimpanzee)
Lineage: Eukaryota; Metazoa; Chordata; Mammalia; Primates; Hominidae
Description: processed transcript
Source: RNAcentral
GAGAUGAACCCGGUACCUCAGAUGGAAAUGCAGAAAUCACCCAUCUUCUGCAUCGCUCACGCUGGUAGCUGUAGACCGGAGCUGUUCCUAUUCGGCCAUCUUGGCUCCUCCUCAAUUUUUGUAUAUAGUGAAAGAGUCUCCUGCAAUGAUUCAGACUUGGCUUUUCUGGCUUCUUCCAUAGAUAAGCACCAGCCUAGGAGCUCUCAAAGUUGUUCCAGCUAAAGGACACACUCAGCUUUUGGUCUACAGUGGCUUCCAGCCUAAGUGGCUCUGGACACUGCUGGAACCCCCCGCUCCAUCUCCCUCCAUAAAUAUGUCUCUGCAGCAGCUCGGUCAAGGAGUGUGAUGACUGGCGAGCAGAUGGCUGCCUUCCAUCCAUCGUCCACCCCCAACCCGCUGGAGAGGCCCAUCAAGAUGGGCUGGCUGAAGAAGCAGAGGUCCAUCGUGAAGAACUGGCAGCAGAGGUACUUUGUGCUGAGGGCGCAGCAGCUCUACUACUACAAGGAUGAAGAGGACACGAAGCCCCAGGGCUGCAUGUAUCUACCAGGAUGUACAAUCAAGGAGAUCGCCACAAACCCAGAA